GCUGGUGUGACACCNNAGACUUACUUUUACUCGCCAGGGUACAACGAGCACCUAGUUAUUUUGCCAAGCUAAUUUACCAUUAAAAUAAUUAAAACUGCUUAAAACCCAAAGGACUUGGCGGUGCUUUAAACCCCCCUAGAGGAGCCUGUUAUAGAAUCGAUACCCCUCGCUAAACCUCACCCUCUCUUGCUUAUUCCGCCUAUAUACCGCCGUCGUCAGUCUACCCCAUGAAGGCACAACAGUGGACUCAAUCGAAAAAACCCAAAACGCCAGGUCAAGGUGUAGCGAAUGAGAGGGGAAUAAAUGGGCUACACUCACUGACUCAGUGGAAACGGAACUCAUACUGAAAACAUGCUUUAAGGAGGAUUUAGUAGUAAGAAGGCAAAAGAGUGCUCUUCUGAAAAAGGCCAUGAAGCGCGCACACACCGCCCCGUCCACCCUCA
RNAcentral lists this ribosomal RNA (443 nucleotides) under Lythrypnus heterochroma. Its description in RNAcentral is "partial 12S ribosomal RNA". The record is from RNAcentral. Lineage: Eukaryota; Metazoa; Chordata; Actinopteri; Gobiiformes; Gobiidae.